AGCUUGCAAGCAAGGAAAAAAUCGAGAAAGAACGGGCAAGACUGGCAGUGCUGAUGAAUUGAAUAGAGGAUAUUUUGAUGAUAUGUCUGAGCUAAAACAACACGGUGGUAAGAUUGCACUGGCAAAUAAGAUUCUAAUUCCGGAAAUGCAGUAAGGAAGUUUCCUGCCAUGAAUGUUAUAUAUUCUGAUGGUAGAAAAUCAAAGCUGCCGAUUGUUUUUUAUGCAAGUGGCGUUGAUGCUAGCAAUUUGGUUGUCCCUGAAGCAUCUUUAGUUUGUCUAUCCUUUAGAGCAAACUCUCAGGCUAUGGUAGAUUCUUGGAGCAAGCCUUUUAUGACGCCUUUAGUGAGUCCAAGAGCGUGCAGCUAUAUGAGGUAAUAUGGAGAAUGAAGUCAAAGAAACACUUGGAAACGGUUUCACUAGCAAUUCUGCUUCGCUAGAGGUCAGUUAGCCAGAUCAUUUAUUCCAACAUAGAUUCCCGUUUAUAAUGUCUUCUCUUUUUUCCUUGUGAUGUAAGGUAUGUAUCAGACACGCUCAUGUUUGAAUACAUGUAUCAAACACAAGUAUUUAAGGAAGAAGAAAAGAAGCCCUUUAUUCUAUAUAUCCUUAUUGAUAAAUAGAAAUACAAUUUUGUUUUCUCCAAAA
This is a long non-coding RNA of Gossypium arboreum, 642 nucleotides long. RefSeq lists it as uncharacterized. The transcript has 5 exons. NCBI's taxonomy places the organism in Eukaryota, Viridiplantae, Streptophyta, Magnoliopsida, Malvales, Malvaceae. The record is from RefSeq and is a predicted model, not a curated record.